AUUGAACGCUGGCGGCAGGCUUAACACAUGCAAGUCGAGCGCGCGGCGCACGGGUGAGCAAUUUCUGGCAAACUUCCAGAUGGACGGGGUUAACUCCUGGAAACGGAAGCUAAUACCGCAUACCAUCAAAUGAUCCCAGAUGGGAUUAGCUAGUGGGUGGGUGAAUGGCUCACCUAGGCCACGAUCCCUAGCUGGUCUGAGAGGAUUACCAGCCACUCUGUAACGGAGACACGGUCCAGACUCCUACGGGAGGAAGCAGUGGGGAAUGUGGCACAAUGGGCGAAAGGCUGAUGCAGCUAUGCCGCGUGUGUGAAGAAGGCCUUCGGGUGGUAAAGCGCGUGAAGCAAGGAAGCGUUAAUCGCACAAGAAGCACCGGCUAACUACGUGCAAGCAGCCGCGGUAAUAC
This 406-nucleotide ribosomal RNA is filed under the name uncultured bacterium. RNAcentral's name for it is "partial 16S ribosomal RNA". It matches the Rfam family "Bacterial small subunit ribosomal RNA", at positions 30 to 526 of the family's 1533-position model. The record is from RNAcentral.